GGAUUAGAUACCCUGGUAGUCCACGCCGUAAACGAUGAGUGCUAGCUGCUGGAAAUGUUUACCGUUUCAGUGGCGAAGCUAACGCAUUAAGCACUCCGCCUGGGAAGUACGGCCGCAAGGCUAAAACUCAAAGGAAUUGACGGGGGCCCGCACAAGCGGUGGAGCAUGUGGUCUAAUUCGAAGCAACGCGCAGAACCUUACCCAGGCUUGACAUCCUAGGAAUUCCUUGGAAACAAGGAAGUGCCUUAGCAAUAAGGAACCUAGAGACAGGUGCUGCAUGGCUGUCGUCAGCUCGUGCUG
RNAcentral lists this ribosomal RNA (300 nucleotides) under uncultured bacterium. Its description in RNAcentral is "bacterial SSU rRNA". It matches the Rfam family "Bacterial small subunit ribosomal RNA", at positions 775 to 1067 of the family's 1533-position model. The record is from RNAcentral.